Molecule: non-coding RNA, 78 nt
Organism: Potamilus streckersoni
Lineage: Eukaryota; Metazoa; Mollusca; Bivalvia; Unionida; Unionidae
Source: the annotation of a GenBank genome assembly
UGGUUUAUAUUAGAUAUAGUGGUUAGAGUGUCCGCCUCAGAUGCGGAAAGUCGCGGGUUCGAACCCCAGCCAAGUCAU